MicroRNA precursor from Cavia aperea (Brazilian guinea pig), 79 nucleotides. The record is from Ensembl. Lineage: Eukaryota; Metazoa; Chordata; Mammalia; Rodentia; Caviidae.
AUGCUCCUGGCUGGGGUGGGAGGUGGGGAGGUCACAGAGGCAGGGCCUUGGGUACUAUGUCUGAUCACUCCCCUCCUCC